Molecule: ribosomal RNA, 484 nt
Filed under: uncultured bacterium
Lineage: Bacteria
Description: partial 16S ribosomal RNA
Rfam family: Bacterial small subunit ribosomal RNA
Source: RNAcentral
AUUGAACGCUGGCGGCAGGCCUAACACAUGCAAGUCGAGCGGAAGAAGGGAGCUUGCUCCUGGAUUCAGCGGCGGACGGGUGAGUAAUGCCUAGGAAUCUGCCUGGUAGUGGGGGAUAACGUCCGGAAACGGGCGCUAAUACCGCAUACGUCCUGAGGGAGAAAGUGGGGGAUCUUCGGACCUCACGCUAUCAGAUGAGCCUAGGUCGGAUUAGCUAGUUGGUGGGGUAAAGGCCUACCAAGGCGACGAUCCGUAACUGGUCUGAGAGGAUGAUCAGUCACACUGGAACUGAGACACGGUCCAGACUCCUACGGGAGGCAGCAGUGGGGAAUAUUGGACAAUGGGCGAAAGCCCGAUCCAGCCAUGCCGCGUGUGUGAAGAAGGUCUUCGGAUUGUAAAGCACUUUAAGUGGGGAGGAAGGGCAGUAAGUUAAUACCUUGCUGUUUUGACGUUACCAACAGAAUAAGCACCGGCUAACUUCGUG